CCUACGGGAGGCAGCAGUGGGGAAUAUUGGGCAAUGGGCGCAAGCCUGACCCAGCAACGCCGCGUGAAGGAAGAAGGCUUUCGGGUUGUAAACUUCUUUUAUCAGGGACGAAGAAAGCGACGGUACCUGAUGAAUAAGCCACGGCUAACUACGUGCCAGCAGCCGCGGUAAUACGUCGGGGGCAAGCGUUAUCCGGAUUUACUGGGUGUAAAGGGCGUGUAGGCGGGAGUGCAAGUCAGAUGUGAAAACUAUGGGCUCAACCCAUAGCCUGCAUUUGAAACUGUACUUCUUGAGUGCUGGGGAGGCAAGCGGAAUGCGGGGUGUAGCGGUGAAAUGCGUAGAUAUACGGCGGAACACCAGUGGCGAAGGCAGAUUGCUGGACAGUAACUGACGCUGAGGCGCGAAAGCGUGGGGAGCAAACAGGAUUAGAUACCCCAGUAGUC
Molecule: ribosomal RNA, 443 nt
Filed under: uncultured bacterium
Lineage: Bacteria
Description: partial 16S ribosomal RNA
Rfam family: Bacterial small subunit ribosomal RNA
Source: RNAcentral